GACGAACGCUGGCGGCGUGCUUAACACAUGCAAGUCGAACGAUGAAGUUCCUUCGGGAAUGGAUUAGUGGCGAACGGGUGAGAAACACGUGAGAAACCUGCCUUUCAUUUUGGGAUAACUCCGGGAAACCGGAGCUAACACCGAAUACUCCGUCUCGGCGGCAUCGCUGAGCCGGGAAAAAAUUUUGAUGAAAGAUGGUCUCGCGGCCUAUCAGCUAGUUGGUGAGGUAAUGGCUCACCAAGGCGACGACGGGUAGCCGGCCUGAGAGGGCGACGGGCCACACUGGGACUGAGACACGGCCCAGACUCCUACGGGAGGCAGGAGUGGGGAAUAUUGGGCAAUGGGCGCAAGCCUGACCCAGCGACGCCGCGUGAGGGAUGAAGGCCUUCGGGUUGUAAACCUCUUUCAGUAGGGAAGAAGCGAAAGUGACGGUACCUAAAGAAGAAGCACCGGCUAACUAUGUGCCAGCCGCCGCAGUAA
Molecule: ribosomal RNA, 480 nt
Filed under: uncultured bacterium
Lineage: Bacteria
Description: partial 16S ribosomal RNA
Rfam family: Bacterial small subunit ribosomal RNA
Source: RNAcentral